GACGAACGCUGGCGGCGUGCCUAAUACAUGCCAGUUGAGCGCUGAAGGUUGGUACUUGUACCAACUGGAUGAGCAGCGAACGGGUGAGUAACGCGUGGGGAAUCUGCCUUUGAGCGGGGGACAACAUUUGGAAACGAAUGCUAAUACCGCAUAAAAACUUUAAACACAAGUUUUAAGUUUGAAAGAUGCAAUUGCAUCACUCAAAGAUGAUCCCGCGUUGUAUUAGCUAGUUGGUGAGGUAAAGGCUCACCAAGGCGAUGAUACAUAGCCGACCUGAGAGGGUGAUCGGCCACAUUGGGACUGGGACACGGCCCAAACUCCUACGGGAGGCAGCAGUAGGGAAUCUUCGGCAAUGGACGAAAGUCUGACCGAGCAACGCCGCGUGAGUGAAGAAGGUUUUCGGAUCGUAAAACUCUGUUGGUAGAGAAGAACGUUGGUGAGAGUGGAAAGCUCAUCAAGUGACGGUAACUACCCAGAAAGGGACGGCUAACUACGUG
RNAcentral lists this ribosomal RNA (497 nucleotides) under uncultured bacterium. Its description in RNAcentral is "partial 16S ribosomal RNA". It matches the Rfam family "Bacterial small subunit ribosomal RNA", at positions 28 to 507 of the family's 1533-position model. The record is from RNAcentral.